CGGCGAGUGAAGCGGCAAGAGCUCAGAUUUGAAAUCGUGUUUCGGCACGAGUUGUAGAGUGUAGGCGGGAGUCUCUGUGGAGCGCGGUGUCCAAGUCCCUUGGAACAGGGUGCCUGAGAGGGUGAGAGCCCCGUAGGGUGCUGCGCGAAGCUUUUGAGGCCCUGCUGACGAGUCGAGUUGUUUGGGAAUGCAGCUCCAAGCGGGUGGUAAAUUCCAUCUAAGGCUAAAUAUUGGCGAGAGACCGAUAGCGAACAAGUACUGUGAAGGAAAGAUGAAAAGCACUUUGAAAAGAGAGUGAAACAGCACGUGAAAUUGUUGAAAGGGAAGGGUAUUGGGCUCGACAUGGGGGGUGCGCACCGCUGUCUCUUGUAGGCGGCGCUCUGGGCGCCCUCUGGGCCAGCAUCGGUUCCUGCUGCGGGAGAAGGGGCUCCGGAAAGUGGCUCUUCGGAGUGUUAUAGCCGGGGCCAGAUGCCGCGUGUGGGGACCGAGGACUGCGGCUUCUGUCUCGGAUGCUGGCAUAACGGCGCAAUACCGCCCGUCUUG
Molecule: ribosomal RNA, 543 nt
Filed under: Pichia manshurica
Lineage: Eukaryota; Fungi; Ascomycota; Pichiomycetes; Pichiales; Pichiaceae
Description: partial large subunit ribosomal RNA
Rfam family: Eukaryotic large subunit ribosomal RNA
Source: RNAcentral